Molecule: transfer RNA, 68 nt
Rfam family: tRNA
About the family: Transfer RNA (tRNA) molecules are approximately 80 nucleotides in length. Their secondary structure includes four short double-helical elements and three loops (D, anti-codon, and T loops).
GGUAAAAUGGCUGAGUUAAGCGGCGGUUUGUAGCUCCGACGAGAUAGGUUAAAGUCCUUUUUUUACCA